Molecule: ribosomal RNA, 255 nt
Filed under: uncultured bacterium
Lineage: Bacteria
Description: partial 16S ribosomal RNA
Rfam family: Bacterial small subunit ribosomal RNA
Source: RNAcentral
UACGGAGGGUGCAAGCGUUAAUCGGAAUUACUGGGCGUAAAGCGUGCGCAGGCGGUUUGUUAAGUCUGCUGUGAAAUCCCCGAGCUCAACUUGGGAAUUGCAGUGGAUACUGGCAGGCUGGAGUAUGGUAGAGGAAGGUGGAAUUCCCGGUGUAGCAGUGAAAUGCGUAGAGAUCGGGAGGAACACCAGUGGCGAAGGCGGCCUUCUGGACCAAUACUGACGCUCAUGCACAAAAGACGUGGGGACGCAAACGAG